This 253-nucleotide ribosomal RNA is filed under the name uncultured bacterium. RNAcentral's name for it is "partial 16S ribosomal RNA". It matches the Rfam family "Bacterial small subunit ribosomal RNA", at positions 524 to 776 of the family's 1533-position model. The record is from RNAcentral.
UACGUAGGGGGCUAGCGUUAAUCGGAAUUACUGGGCGUAAAGCGUGCGCAGGCGGUUAUGCAAGACAGAGGUGAAAUCCCCGGGCUCAACCUGGGAACUGCCUUUGUGACUGCAUAGCUAGAGUACGGUAGAGGGGGAUGGAAUUCCGCGUGUAGCAGUGAAAUGCGUAGAUAUGCGGAGGAACACCGAUGGCGAAGGCAAUCCCCUGGACCUGUACUGACGCUGAUGCACGAAAGCGUGGGGAGCAAACAGG